AGAGGUUUCCAUACCCUUAUAAGGAAUGCUUCAUUCCCCUCUCCAACCGAUGUGGAAUCUCACACUAUUCGUGGAUCAUACUUUUUUGUAAUCAUGUGGAAUCUCACACUAUUCGGGAGUAUGCAAAGUAGUGUGGAGUAUUGAAGCUGAUUUAGAAGCUGCUCAGCUUCUUUACCUUACUGCUGGGGAUCCUGUCGCCCUUAGGCUUCUGGGAACCAAAUAUGGCUAUGCAAAUGUCUCCUAUGGAACAUGCUAACUUAUGGAUGGCUGAGGAUGACACAAGCCGCAGAGUGUGUUGUAGGUUGUGAGUUUUUUUUUUUUUUUCUCUUGGAUUCAAUUUAAGAUCAUGUAUAUGCUUCGUUUCGUGUCACGAUCAUGCUUGUCCAAGGCAUGUCGCUCAUGGCCGCAUGCCCGUGACACGCCAAAACCUUUGCCUUGUACUACUUUUCCUCGCUUUCUAAAAUCUUUUUUUGAAAUCGAGACCCGAGGUUUGUAUUCA
Cucurbita moschata (crookneck pumpkin) is the source of this 499-nucleotide long non-coding RNA. RefSeq lists it as uncharacterized. The record is from RefSeq and is a predicted model, not a curated record. The transcript has 2 exons. NCBI's taxonomy places the organism in Eukaryota, Viridiplantae, Streptophyta, Magnoliopsida, Cucurbitales, Cucurbitaceae.